Molecule: ribosomal RNA, 253 nt
Filed under: uncultured bacterium
Lineage: Bacteria
Description: partial 16S ribosomal RNA
Rfam family: Bacterial small subunit ribosomal RNA
Source: RNAcentral
UACGGGGGGGGCGAGCGUUGUUCGGAAUUACUGGGCGUAAAGGGCGCGUAGGCGGUUUCAGAAGUUUUGGGUGAAAGCCCCCGGCUCAACCGGGGAAGUGCCUGGAAAACCAUGGGACUGGAGUGCUGGAGAGGCAAGCGGAAUUUCUGGUGUAGCGGUGAAAUGCGUAGAUAUCAGAAGGAACAUCCGAGGCGAAGGCGGCUUGCGGGACAGACACUGACGAUGAGGCGCGAAAGCUAGGGGAGCAAACGGG